UGCGCAGGUGGCCCGCCAAGCCAGUGGUGAAAUCCCCCCGCUCAACGGGGGGCGUGCCAUUGGAACUGGCGGGCUUGAGUUCGGCCGAGGCCGCCGGAACGGGCGGUGUAGCGGUGAAAUGCAUAGAUAUCGCCCAGAACGCCGAUUGCGAAGGCAGGCGGCCAGGCCGACACUGACACUGAGGCACGAAAGCGUGGGGAGCGAACA
RNAcentral lists this ribosomal RNA (207 nucleotides) under uncultured bacterium. RNAcentral's name for it is "partial 16S ribosomal RNA". It matches the Rfam family "Bacterial small subunit ribosomal RNA", at positions 568 to 774 of the family's 1533-position model. The record is from RNAcentral.